UACGUAGGGGGCAAGCGUUGUCCGGAAUCAUUGGGCGUAAAGAGCGUGUAGGCGGCCCGGUAAGUCCGCUGUGAAAGUCCAGGGCUCAACCCUGGGAUGCCGGUGGAUACUGUCGGGCUCGAGUCCGGAAGAGGAGUGUGGAAUUCCUGGUGUAGCGGUGAAAUGCGCAGAUAUCAGGAAGAACACCCGUGGCGAAGGCGGCUCUCUGGAACGCAACUGACGCUGAGGAGCGAAAGCGUGGGGAGCGAACAGG
Molecule: ribosomal RNA, 253 nt
Filed under: uncultured bacterium
Lineage: Bacteria
Description: partial 16S ribosomal RNA
Rfam family: Bacterial small subunit ribosomal RNA
Source: RNAcentral